ACUCAAUAAUGAACUGCAAAUCACCUGUCUGUGAUCCCAGCACUUGGGAGACAGAGGCAGGAGGAU
Molecule: microRNA precursor, 66 nt
Filed under: Cricetulus griseus (Chinese hamster)
Lineage: Eukaryota; Metazoa; Chordata; Mammalia; Rodentia; Cricetidae
Description: miRNA (ENSCGRG00001004168.1)
Source: RNAcentral